UGGAGUGGAGGCGGCGUCAUCGUGUCAACGACACGCGCGACUGGGCUGCUCCGGAGGUGAUCCGCAGGUUCUUCCCCCACGGCAGCUGCGGCGUCGAUCGGGGCGGCCACAGAGUUUACAUCUUCAACAUGGGUGGCCUAGACAUGAGAGGCCUGAUGCAGUGCGCGAGCCGGGUCGACCUCGUCCAGUUCGGGUUACCUCAGUCAGGAAGAAGCAAUGAGCACCUAAAGUGACUCGAACACACCCCACCACGGGUGGAUGAAUCGGAGCGCGUGCGCUCUGACCAACCGAGCCGCCGCGGCGGACGAGCGCGCGCCGAGACACAUUGUCGCCACUGCAGCAAAUAGAAGCUGGAACAAGCAUUCCGUCAGAAAAAAACGUCUCAGGAACAAGUCGCAGAAACCUGGGAGCUUACUAAUCUGUGUCGCGAUCGAUGAGUUGCGUUGGAAACUGCCGUACGUCAGAACUUCCAUUAAAUAAUCGCAUGGGUUUUUACGCGUGGGCUAGGACAGUGUUGCUUUCCGUUUUUGCGUAGUUCGCAGAAUCCUAAGGCAGCAUAUCGGUUUCUAAGCUGCGAAAUACAGCUUUAGAAUGCGUUCAAAAGCGAUGAAAUAGGCAAAGACAAGUUAACACGGAUUGCCGCCAGCUGCGCCCAUUCUAACAAUAGAAGCUCUGCAAAAUAAGUGUCUGUUUCAGAACGAAAGAGACUGAAAUGCUUGGUACUCAAAUAAAACUUCUGUUGCAAACGGACUGGUCGGAACGUUUGAUAACCAUGUAUGCUAAUACAGGUACUACCCACAUGAU
Pollicipes pollicipes is the source of this 804-nucleotide long non-coding RNA. RefSeq lists it as uncharacterized. The transcript is spliced from 3 exons. NCBI's taxonomy places the organism in Eukaryota, Metazoa, Arthropoda, Thecostraca, Pollicipedomorpha, Pollicipedidae. The record is from RefSeq and is a predicted model, not a curated record.